UUUCCGGUUGAUCCUGCCGGACCUGACUGCUAUCGGAUUGAUACUAAGCCAUGCGAGUCUUUGUAGUAAUACAAGGCAUACGGCUCAGUAACGCGUAGUCAACCUACCCUAUGGACAAGAAUAAUCUCGGGAAACUGAGCAUAAUUCUUGAUAGAUCAUAAUGCCUGGAAUGGUAUAUGGUUAAAAUGAUUCGUCGCCAUAGGAUGGGACUGCGGCCUAUCAGCUUGUUGGUGAGGUAAUGGCCCACCAAGGCGAUUACAGGUACGGGCUCUGAGAGGAGAAGCCCGGAGAUGGGUACUGAGACAAGGACCCAGGCCCUAUGGGGCGCAGCAGGCGAGAAAACUUUGCAAUGUGCGAAAGCACGACAAGGUUAGUCCGAGUGAUUUCUGCUAAAGAGAUCUUUUGCUAGUUAUAAAACCACUAGUGAAUAAGGGGUGGGCAAGUUCUGGUGUCAGCCGCCGCGGUAAAACCAGCACCUCAAGUGGUCAGGAUGAUUAUUGGGCCUAAAGCAUCCGUAGCCGGCUCUGUAAGUUUUCGGUUAAAUCUAUGCGCUCAACGUAUGGGCUGCCGAAAAUACUGUAGAGAUAGGGAGUGGGAGAGGUAGACGGUACUCGGUAGGAAGGGGUAAAAUCCUUUGAUCUAUCGAUGACCACCUGUGGCGAAGGCGGUCUACCAGAACACGUUCGACGGUGAGGGAUGAAAGCUGGGGGAGCAAACCGGAUUAGAUACCCGGGUAGUCCCAGCUGUAAACGAUGCAGACUCGAUGAUGCAUUGGCAUAUAGCCAGUGCAGUGUCGCAGGGAAGCCGUUAAGUCUGCCGCCUGGGAAGUACGUACGCAAGUAUGAAACUUAAAGGAAUUGGCGGGGGAGCACCACAAGGGGUGAAGCCUGCGGUUCAAUUGGAUUCAACGCCGGAA
This 916-nucleotide ribosomal RNA is filed under the name uncultured archaeon. Its description in RNAcentral is "SSU rRNA". It matches the Rfam family "Archaeal small subunit ribosomal RNA", at positions 1 to 923 of the family's 1478-position model. The record is from RNAcentral.